This 1244-nucleotide ribosomal RNA is filed under the name metagenome. RNAcentral's name for it is "bacterial LSU rRNA". It matches the Rfam family "Bacterial large subunit ribosomal RNA", at positions 1564 to 2818 of the family's 2925-position model. The record is from RNAcentral.
UGAAUACGAGACGCUAAGGCGUCGAAGUAGUGUAUGUCAUACUUCCAAGAAAAGCUUGCACUGUCAUAGAUAAAAAACGCCUGUACCAUAACCGACACAGGUGGGUAGGUAGAGUAUACUAAGGGGCGCGAGAUAACUCUCUCUAAGGAACUCGGCAAAAUAACUCCGUAACUUCGGGAGAAGGAGUGCCUUAUUCGUAAGGUUGCAAUAACAAGAUCCAAGCAACUGUUUAUCAAAAACACAGGUCUCCGCUAAGUCGUAAGACGAUGUAUGGGGGCUGACGCCUGCCCAGUGCCAGAAGGUUAAAGAAGUUGGUUAGCAAUUGCGAAGCUGAUAACUGAAGCCCUGGUGAACGGCGGCCGUAACUAUAACGGUCCUAAGGUAGCGGAAUUCCUUGUCGGGUAAGUUCCGACCCGCACGAAAGGCGUAAUGAUUUGGAUACUGUCUCGGAGAGGGGCUCGGUGAAAUAGACUUGUCUGUGAAGAUGCGGACUACCUGCACCAGGACAGAAAGACCCUAUGAAGCUUUACUGUAACUUGAAAUUGAAAUUGGACUUUAUUCGCGCAGUAUAGGUGGGAGGCGUUGAUUAUAAUCUUGUGGGAUUAUUGGAGCCAUCAGUGAGAUACCACUCUUGUAAUGUUAGAUUUCUAACUUUGAAUCAUUAUCUGGUCAAAGAACAGUUUCAGGCGGGCAGUUUGACUGGGGCGGUCGCCUCCUAAACGGUAACGGAGGCGUACAAAGGUUUCCUCUGAACGGUUAGAAAUCGUAUCUAGAGUGUAAAGGCAUAAGGAAGCUUGACUGUGAGACCUACAAGUCGAGCAGGGACGAAAGUCGGUCUUAGUGAUCUGACGGUACUGAGUGGAAAGGCCGUCACUCAACGGAUAAAAGUUACUCUAGGAUAACAGGCUGAUCUCCCCCAAGAGUUCACAUCGACGGGGAGGUUUGGCACCUUGAUGUCGGCUCAUCGCAUCCUGGGGCGGUAGUACGUCCCAAGGGUUGGGCUGUUCGCCCAUGAAAGCGGUACGCGAGCUGGGUUCAGAACGUCGUGAGACAGUUCGGUCCAUAUCCGGUGUAGGCGUUAGAAUAUUGAGAGGAGCCUUCUUUAGUACGAGAGGACCGAGAAGGACAUACCUCUGGUGUACCAGUUAUCGUGCCAACGGUAAACGCUGGGUAGCUAUGUAUGGAGUGGAUAACCGCUGAAAGCAUCUAAGUGGGAAGCCCACCUCAAGAUAAGUAUUCUCAUC